GCUUUCUAAACUAUUUCAUUUUGUAAUGGGGUGAAAAAGGAGAAAUAAACAGAUUGUUAAGGAAAACCAAACACUGGCACAGUAAGAAGCUCACUGCUAAAAUAGUGAUUAGUACACAAAAUGAAUUAUUUUCAAGCCUCUGAAGUACAGUAAAAGGAGUUCCAGCCAUUCCUUGUUUAGGUGCUUGUGGCUGUAUGGUUGAACUGAUGUAACAGAUGCAUACUGCUUAAAGAUCCUAGUGCUUUCCCCACUGUUGACUGCAAGCUUUCACUCAGUCUCCCAAGAGAUUUCACUCACUUUCCUAAGCAUUUUCUCACCACAGGAGAACUGUUCCAGGGUUCCAUGUUUCAUCUUUAAAGUGAGUGUUUUGACCCUUCAGGGAACCAUUACGGCCAAGCACCUAUGCAGGAAUGGCAGGAGUUCCCUGAGAAAAGCAGCAGGACCAGGACCAGAUUGGUUUACCAGACAGUCAAACUACAUCGCUGCAGCUUCUCAGUGAACCUGUUGUGUGUCUUCUUAUUAUCAGAUAUCAUUGUUUGUAUACUUUAUUCUACUCCAACCUUAUCUACUGUGUAAGUCUGUUUCUGUACUGCAGGCUUUUGAAGUGCUACAGGUUAUUUAACAUGUACUGUCCCAGUACUAAGAUAGUAAUAUUGCUUCAGCAAAUGAUUCAUAGACCUUUAGUCAAUGUGAGGACAGAAUGUGACGGUUGGUAUCUUGACUCUUGUACAAGUCACAGACCUGUAAAUGAGAGGACAUGAUUUAAUUUGACAGGUUAUUUAAAAUUGCAUAGAUGUCAGAGAGGAUUUUCGGGCUUUAGGUAAUAGACCUUUCAGACCUCUGCUGACCUCCACAGCACACUUCAGCACAUGGCUAACUUUAAAGAAAUCCACCUCAGUUAAGUUGUCUUGAUUACUCAUUUAGCUCUUUCUUCAUUUGCAGUCUCCUCUGCAUUUUUCUCACAGUGUGAGUCCCAUCAGAAAGUGCUUCUUGCAUUUAAUGCCUGGAAUACAUAUCUGGGAGAAGAGAGAAGAGCGAGCUCAUUGCUUCUGCUACCAAUACUAAAGCUGAUUCUCCUUUCUAGUUUUAUCUUCAUAUUUCCUGUUGUUGAAAAUGAAAAAAGAAAGAAGAUGAACACUGCCGUAUUUUAGGAUAAACAGAACUUACUCUGUGAUUAUUUGAAAGAAAAAGAAUCCAAAAGCAAGAGCUUUAAGAAAUGCCAGAAAUACUGUUUCCAGCCACGUUAUUCUAGUAUGGCUUUGAGCAUACCUAUUCCUUUAAGCCCUUGCAUUAUCAUCUCAGAAUAACAUUGCACUUAAGCUGAUCCAUUUUUCUCUACUUCAGUAAGGAAGAAAUUAAUGGUGUUUAUUACUGUAUGAGGUGAAUGUGUGAUUAUUUUGCUUGCCAAUACUUUCUUUUAUGCCUUGCAUUUCAGAAAGAGACAGCUGUUAUUGUGAUAGGUUUUUUGUUCCAGUGAAUCUACAAGAAAUACAGGGAGUUAAUACAGGAUCAGUCAAGUACCAUGGCAAAAGUGCUGCUCUUGUUACCUCAUCCUAUUGUAUUGGUAGAGAUUCUACAUGACUUAGGACAUACUUCAGAAAAGGAAGACUGCUGUGGACUUUCUGCAGGCUCUUGCAGAAUGUGAACCAUGAGAGAGAUGAUGGUCUAGAAAAGCCUUCCUGUAAGGAUCCCUGAUUCUUUGUUUCAAACACUAGAAACUGUUGAGAACAGUUCAAGGAGUGAAUCUCCUGUGGUAUCACAAGGCAGGAUAUUUUUUGGAAAGUGAGUAUAUAUAACUAGAGUCCUUAAUUUUUCAACCUUGUAGUGAGAAAUCCUGAUGAAACUAGAAUCAGGAUUAGCUGUCUUACAUAAAACUGUCAUCUUCCUCAUGAAGGUGUAGAAAGUUUUUGUAGGUGGAGAGUGGUUAGUUGGUGUGGAAGAUCUUGUGUAACACUGAGUAAUACCUGACCAUUCCAAGGAUUUUUUUUUAAUGUGUAUCCACAUUAAGAUGUUUCUUCCAUGUUUGAAGGGCAGUUGGCUACAGCAGGGCCACGUUCUUGGUUCUGAGGCCCUGAUGCAGAAGUGACCCUAAGAAUUGUUGACUUAACUGUGUGUAGAUAGAUGAUUUUUUUUUUUUGAAUGCCUCUAACCCUGCGUUCCUUUUUUCAUAUCUCCAGGUAUUGUUUUACGUUACCUUAACCCUUCUUAGCAUGUGUGACUAUGACUUCUGGUAAAAACCUGAGGUACACUCUAAGAUGUACCCGAGUUGUGGUUGGUCUGUGGUUUGGUUUUUUUUUUGUUUGUUUGUUUUUUUUAACGAGUUCUAAAAGUGUUUCAAAAAAACCCUGGAUUUUAUGCAGGCUUUUGGCUUCACUGUAAUUUUAAUUAGGUUUUCUGUAUGGCUUUCAUGCUUGAAAGCUACAUGAGAUUUAAACUACAUACAAAUUGUACUUCUGUGUGCUGAGGGGCUUUGCAAUGUUCUGCUGUUGAUGAAGUAGUUUGAACUAUGCCAACCCUUACUUUAACAGUGACCUCUUCUUAUACUGGGUUGUUGUUAAAAAUUUGCUAGCAUUCACUGACUUACUUCCUAAUGACAUAAAAGCUACUGCAUGUCUCCCUUAUAUUCAGAAAAGAAAAUAGUUCAUAACUGGGAUGUGUCUGGCAAACUUCUUUUUUGAAUGGCUGUUCCUGUAGAUGGUGCAGUUAUAUUUGCUGAUGCACAAUACCUGAGUUUAGUAACAUGUAAGUUUUGUCAUCUUCCUCACACAUGUUAAUAAAGUUAUAUUUUAAGCAAUGGCAAAAAUGUCAGUUUUCAACAAAUUUUUUUUCUCACUGAAAACGUUUCGCUUCUGGUAAUUGCUGAGGGGUAUGUAAAUCCAUUUCUAAAUACAGAACAGAUUGAAGACCAAAAAUUGGCUGUGAUAAACAUGUUCAUGUAAUUUUGUUACCUAUUCUA
This is a long non-coding RNA of Harpia harpyja (harpy eagle), 2956 nucleotides long. RefSeq lists it as uncharacterized. The record is from RefSeq and is a predicted model, not a curated record. The transcript is spliced from 3 exons. Lineage: Eukaryota; Metazoa; Chordata; Aves; Accipitriformes; Accipitridae.